GAUGAACGCUAGCUACAGGCUUAACACAUGCAAGUCGAGGGACCGGCGCACGGGUGAGUAACACGUCUCCAACCUGCCCUUUACUCGGGGAUAGCCUUUCGAAAGAAAGAUUAAUACCCGAUAUAAAGGCUGGGGAUGCGUUCCAUUAGGUUGUUGGUGAGGUAACGGCUCACCAAGCCUUCGAUGGAUAGGGGUUCUGAGAGGAAGGUCCCUGACAUGGGAACUUGUCAACGGUCCAAACACGUACGGGAGGCAGCAGUGAGGGAUAUUGGUCAAUGGGCUCUAGCCUGAGCCAGCCAAGUAGCGUGUAGGAUGAAGGCUUAUGGGUCGUAAACUUCUUUUAUAUAAGAAUAGGUAUUAUAUGAAUAAGGAUCGGCUAACUCCGUGCCAGCAGCCGCGGUAAUUC
Molecule: ribosomal RNA, 406 nt
Filed under: uncultured bacterium
Lineage: Bacteria
Description: partial 16S ribosomal RNA
Rfam family: Bacterial small subunit ribosomal RNA
Source: RNAcentral